This 813-nucleotide ribosomal RNA is filed under the name Mycobacterium sp. Its description in RNAcentral is "bacterial SSU rRNA". It matches the Rfam family "Bacterial small subunit ribosomal RNA", at positions 107 to 927 of the family's 1533-position model. Lineage: Bacteria; Bacillati; Actinomycetota; Actinomycetes; Mycobacteriales; Mycobacteriaceae. The record is from RNAcentral.
UGAGUAACACGUGGGCAAUCUGCCCUGCACUUCGGGAUAAGCCUGGGAAACUGGGUCUAAUACCGGAUAGGACCACUUGGCGCAUGCCUUGUGGUGGAAAGCUUUUGCGGUGUGGGAUGGGCCCGCGGCCUAUCAGCUAGUUGGUGGGGUGAUGGCCUACCAAGGCGACGACGGGUAGCCGGCCUGAGAGGGUGUCCGGCCACACUGGGACUGAGAUACGGCCCAGACUCCUACGGGAGGCAGCAGUGGGGAAUAUUGCACAAUGGGCGCAAGCCUGAUGCAGCGACGCCGCGUGGGGGAUGACGGCCUUCGGGUUGUAAACCUCUUUCAGCAGGGACGAAGCGCAAGUGACGGUACCUGCAGAAGAAGCACCGGCCAACUACGUGCCAGCAGCCGCGGUAAUACGUAGGGUGCGAGCGUUGUCCGGAAUUACUGGGCGUAAAGAGCUCGUAGGUGGUUUGUCGCGUUGUUCGUGAAAACCGGGGGCUUAACCCUCGGCGUGCGGGCGAUACGGGCAGACUAGAGUACUGCAGGGGAGACUGGAAUUCCUGGUGUAGCGGUGGAAUGCGCAGAUAUCAGGAGGAACACCGGUGGCGAAGGCGGGUCUCUGGGCAGUAACUGACGCUGAGGAGCGAAAGCGUGGGGAGCGAACAGGAUUAGAUACCCUGGUAGUCCACGCCGUAAACGGUGGGUACUAGGGUGUGGGUUUCCUUCCUUGGGAUCCGUGCCGUAGCUAACGCAUUAAGUACCCCGCCUGGGGGAGUACGGCCGCAAAGGCUAAAACUCAANGGAAUUUGACGGGGGGCCCGCACA